Small nuclear RNA from Arvicola amphibius (Eurasian water vole), 108 nucleotides. Lineage: Eukaryota; Metazoa; Chordata; Mammalia; Rodentia; Cricetidae. The record is from RefSeq and is a predicted model, not a curated record.
GAAUGUUACCGUGCUCGCUCAUAUACUAAAACUGGAACGAUACCAAGAGUAUUAGCAUGGCCUCUGUGCAAGGAUGACACGCAAAUUCCUGAAGCGUUCCAUUAAAAA